Long non-coding RNA from Electrophorus electricus (electric eel), 459 nucleotides. The record is from Ensembl. NCBI's taxonomy places the organism in Eukaryota, Metazoa, Chordata, Actinopteri, Gymnotiformes, Gymnotidae.
GCUCUGACUUUUCUGCCUCUGUUUGCCCUAUCUCAGUUUUUUCCUCUGAGCUCUCUGAGGCCUCUGCCUCAAAAACUGCAUCUUGAUCUUUUUCAUCAGACAACUCAAUAUCUGAGUUUUCAUGAACAAUUCGCAGUAACAUUCUCUCUACCUCUGACAGUGAAUACCUUCCUUCGUAAUUGAAAAUACAGAGAAAAAAAGAUUCUUCCAGUGAUCCCUACAGUACUGACUAGAUUCUCUUCAGCCAUGCCAUCCUAUAGCAUGUGUCCCUGGGUCCUGCUGUUAUCUGUGCUUAAGGUCAUAACCGUGCCUGUAUUGACCUAUUCAGUAAAGGUGAAUCUUCAUGACAAUGCUACUCUCCCCUGCACUCGGACGUGUUCUGGUCUGGUCACAUGGACUGUGUCCCAUAAACAACAUGACAUUCUGGCUCAGUGUGACCGGAUAUCCUGUCAGUCAAAG